CUCACCAUGAAGAUUCAACUCUCCUUAUUCCUGCUACUAAUCAGCAUCAUCAGUAUUCAGUGUCAAAGUCUUGAGUCUAUUCCAACUGGGUCAGUGUUGAAAAAGCCUGGAGAAACACUGAGUCUUUCCUGUAAAGGAUCUGGGUUUAAUUUUGGUAGUUAUGGCAUGCACUGGAUCAGACAAGAAGCUGGAAAAGCACUGGAAUGGAUUGGGCUUAUCUGGUAUGAUGCCAGUAAAACAGUAUACGCCAAACACAUUGAGGGACGUUUGGAAAUUACCAGAGACAACUCCAACAACAUGGUGUACCUGCAGCUGACUGGCUUGACUGUACACGACUCUGCUGUAUAUUACUGUGCAGGAAACCACAGUGGUACAAACAUGUUACUCAGCUGUACAAAAUCCCCAUAG
Non-coding RNA from Clarias gariepinus (North African catfish), 408 nucleotides. NCBI's taxonomy places the organism in Eukaryota, Metazoa, Chordata, Actinopteri, Siluriformes, Clariidae. The record is from the annotation of a RefSeq genome assembly.